GGCAGCCGCCGCGGUAACACCGGCGGCCCGAGUGGUGAUCGUGAUUAUUGGGUCUAAAGGGUCCGUAGCCGGUUUGGUCAGUCCUCCGGGAAAUCUGAUAGCUCAACUAUUAGGCUUUCGGGGGAUACUGCCAGACUUGGAACCGGGAGAGGUAAGAGGUACUACAGGGGUAGGAGUGAAAUCUUGUAAUCCCUGUGGGACCACCUGUGGCGAAGGCGUCUUACCAGAACGGGUUCGACGGUGAGGGACGAAAGCUGGGGGCACGAACCGGAUUAGAUACCCGGGUAGUCCCAGCCGUAAACGAUGCUCGCUAGGUGUCAGGCAUGGCGCGACCGUGUCUGGUGCCGCAGGGAAGCCGUGAAGCGAGCCACCUGGGAAGUACGGCCGCAAGGCUGAAACUUAAAGGAAUUGGCGGGGGAGCACAACAACGGGUGGAGCCCUGCGGUUUAAUUGGACUCAACGCCGGACAACUCACCGGGGGCGACAGCAAUAUGUAGGCCAAGCUGAAGACUUUGCCUGAAUCGCUGAGAAGAGGUGCAUGG
This 542-nucleotide ribosomal RNA is filed under the name uncultured archaeon. Its description in RNAcentral is "bacterial SSU rRNA". It matches the Rfam family "Archaeal small subunit ribosomal RNA", at positions 457 to 997 of the family's 1478-position model. The record is from RNAcentral.